CUCUCUCUACACUCGCUCUCUCUCCCCGAACGAACUCCCGACGAACUCUCUCUCUGUGCCCUAGCUUUUUCCGACCGGCGAACCACCGCUAGCAACCGACAAACCAGGAGUAUACCGGCGAGACGACCACGAGCGACCGACCGGCGUGCGACCUUCCUCUCUGCCCUCCCUCUUUCCGGCUGGCGAACCACUGCGAGCAACCGACGAACGAGGAGGAUACCGGCGAGACGACCGCGAGCAACCGACCGGCGUGCAACCUCCCUCUCUCUGCCCUCCCUCGCUUUUUCCGACCGGCGAACCACCUCGCCACCCCUCCGGCUCCGGAUCUGGCCCCGACUCGUCCGUCCCCUGCUCUUCGCUGUCUGCCCUCCUUCUCUUCGCGGCGGACCACCGCGUGACCAGCGAACCACCGCGCCCCCCCCUCCAGCUCUAGAUCCGACACCGGCUUGUCUUGUACGCUGGAACUUGGUGCCCGACCGCCUCACACCCGCCGGCCUGUUGAUCUCCAGUUCCGCUCGCAUCACGAUCCCGCUCUUCUCUGUCUGCCCUCCCUCUCUUCGCGGUGAACCACCGCGUGACCGGCGAACUACCGCGCCCCCCCUCCAGCUCCAGAUCCGACACCGGCUUGUCUUGUACGCUGGAACUUG
This 647-nucleotide long non-coding RNA is filed under the name Eucalyptus grandis. RNAcentral's name for it is "long non-coding RNA (EGRA_LNC000305)". The record is from RNAcentral. Lineage: Eukaryota; Viridiplantae; Streptophyta; Magnoliopsida; Myrtales; Myrtaceae.